UACGGGGGGAGCGAGCGUUGUUCGGAAUCACUGGGCGUAAAGGGCGCGUAGGCGGUUGGAUAAGUCAGAGGUGAAAUGCCAGGGCUUAACCUUGGAAUUGCCUUUGAUACUGCCCGACUAGAGGACGGAAGAGGAUAGUGGAAUUCCUGGUGUAGCGGUGAAAUGCGUAGAUAUCAGGAAGAACACCGGUGGCGAAGGCGGCUAUCUGGUCCGUUACUGACGCUGAGGCGCGAAAGCCAGGGGAGCAAACGGG
RNAcentral lists this ribosomal RNA (253 nucleotides) under uncultured bacterium. RNAcentral's name for it is "partial 16S ribosomal RNA". It matches the Rfam family "Bacterial small subunit ribosomal RNA", at positions 524 to 776 of the family's 1533-position model. The record is from RNAcentral.